AAGUUAGUCCUAGCUUUACUAUCAAUUAUUUUUCAACUUACACAUGCAAGUCUCCACACCCCCGUGAAAACGCCCUUUAACCCACAACGGAAUAAGGAGCUGGUAUCAGGCACAACCAACCCGCCUAAAACACCUAGUCCUGCCACUCCCACAAGGGUUAUCAGCAGUGAUUAACAUUGCCCAUGAGCGACAGCUCGACUCAGUUAGAAAAUACAGGGCCGGCAAAUCCUGUGCCAGCCGCCGCGGUUAGACCGGUUAGACCCAAAUUGACAACAAACGGUGUAAAGUGCCAUAAGUUUACCCCCCCCCCCCCCUGGAAUCAAACCUACACCCAAGCAGUAAUACGCUGACAUCAAGAAACACAAGCACGAAAGUCAUUCCACCAAAAACUUAAACCCACGAUAGCUAAGAAACAAACUAGGAUUAGAUACCCUACUAUGCUUAGCCAUAAACCUUUACCCACACCUGGGAACUACGAGCAAAAGCUUGAAACCUAAAGGACUUGACGGUGCCCCAAACCCACCUAGAGGAGCCUGUUCUAUAACCGACACCACCCGAUAAACCUCACCACCACUAGCCAUACCCAGCCCGUAUACCUCCGUCGUCAGCUUAUCACUCAAGUGAAUUUUAAUAAGCCAAAUGGUCCCCACCAAUACGUCAGGUCAAGGUGCAGCAUAUGUCGUGGGCAGAAAUGGGCUACACUCCCUCACAACCAGGAAAAACAAAAGACCUAGAGAAACCAAAGUCAAAAGGCGGAUUUAGUAGUAAAAAGAAAACAGAGUGUUCUUUUUAACUCGGCCCUGGGACACGUACAGACCGCCCGUCACCCUCUCCGCCCCACAUAACUACCAAUAUAUAAGAUCAACCCCCCCCAAGAAGAGAUAAGUCGUAACAAGGUAGGCAUACCGGAAGAUGUGCCUGGAA
RNAcentral lists this non-coding RNA (924 nucleotides) under Sooglossus thomasseti (Thomasset's Seychelles frog). Its description in RNAcentral is "12S ribosomal RNA". It matches the Rfam family "Bacterial small subunit ribosomal RNA". Lineage: Eukaryota; Metazoa; Chordata; Amphibia; Anura; Sooglossidae. The record is from RNAcentral.